Molecule: unclassified non-coding RNA, 80 nt
Filed under: bacterium JGI 053
Lineage: Bacteria
Description: microRNA mir-324
Source: RNAcentral
AGAACCAUCUCACGCAGAGCCGCAGAGCCGCAGAGAAACGAUUUGUUCUCUGCGGCUCUGCGGCUCUGCGUGAGAUGCUU